CAAAGAAUAAGCAAGUCCAAACCUUGUAUGUGUAGUCGUUGAGCUAUAGGUUCCCACGUAAAGUUAAAAUGCCCCUAUUUCAAGAAGAAUAAACUCACGAAAACAUGAAAAAAUUCUCUAAAUUCGCGUUCAUUGUUUUGAUUUUGACCGCCUGACAACUUUACGGAAGUAUCAGAGUGAUUAUAAACAAGGACUCUGUGACGG
Molecule: long non-coding RNA, 204 nt
Filed under: Mytilus galloprovincialis (Mediterranean mussel)
Lineage: Eukaryota; Metazoa; Mollusca; Bivalvia; Mytilida; Mytilidae
Source: RNAcentral